Molecule: non-coding RNA, 125 nt
Organism: Triticum aestivum (bread wheat)
Lineage: Eukaryota; Viridiplantae; Streptophyta; Magnoliopsida; Poales; Poaceae
Source: Rfam
UACGUACUCCCUCCGUCCGAAAAUACUUAUCGCGAAAAUGGACGUAUCUAGACGUAUUUUAGUUCUAGAUACAUUCAUUUUUAUUCAUUUCUUCGACGAGUAUUUCCAGACGGAGGGACAAACAA